Molecule: ribosomal RNA, 459 nt
Filed under: uncultured bacterium
Lineage: Bacteria
Description: partial 16S ribosomal RNA
Rfam family: Bacterial small subunit ribosomal RNA
Source: RNAcentral
CCUACGGGGUGCAGCAGUGAGGAAUAUUGGUCAAUGGCCGAGAGGCUGAACCAGCCAAGUCGCGUGAGGGAAGACGGCACUACGGGUUGUAAACCUCUUUUGUCGGGGAGCAAAGAGAGUCACGUGUGACUCAUUGAGAGUACCCGAAGAAAAAGCAUCGGCUAACUCCGUGCCAGCAGCCGCGGUAAUACGGAGGAUGCGAGCGUUAUCCGGAUUUAUUGGGUUUAACGGGUGCGCAGGCGGAGGUGCAAGUCAGCGGUCAAAUUGCGGGGCUCAACCCCGUACUGCCGUUGAAACUGCAUGCCUUGAGUGCGCGAGAAGUAUGCGGAAUGCGUGGUGUAGCGGUGAAAUGCAUAGAUAUCACGCAGAACUCCGAUUGCGAAGGCAGCAUACCGGCGCGCAACUGACGCUCAUGCACGAAAGCGUGGGUAUCGAACAGGAUUAGAUACCCUUGUAGUC